This 78-nucleotide small nuclear RNA is filed under the name Mustela putorius furo (domestic ferret). Its description in RNAcentral is "U2 spliceosomal RNA". Lineage: Eukaryota; Metazoa; Chordata; Mammalia; Carnivora; Mustelidae. The record is from Rfam by way of RNAcentral.
AUCGCUUCUUGGCCUUUUGGCUAAGAUCAAGUGUAGAAAUUGAUAAAUGAUAAAAAUUUAUACCUAGAAAUACAUUUA